GCGGAAUUCAGGUUGCUUUUUUAUUGUUAUUUAUUGUUGCAUAAAGACUGUAAUUACUAACCUUGGACUGCCAGGAUGCAACAUAAAAAUGAAAAUCAGCCCUGCUUUAAGGCUGAGGGCCUGGAAUGAUUCUCACCCCCACAACCACCACUACCACCAAAUAUAUGCUCCUAAUUAAGCAAUGCGGGCGCAUAGCUUACAAUUAGAAUUAUGCAACUCUUCAGCAAGCAAGCAUCGCUUCUCUUUCAACGAAUUAGCUCCAUAUUUCAGCCACCCUGUCUCCUCGCUCUUAUCGGCUCCAGCGACGCGGCGGUGACAUUUCAUCUUUGACAGACCCUCUCUAUCCUCGCUCCAGUGUGAUAAAACUUUUAUGGAACCCCGACUAAGAAAUGAAGUUUUCCCAAGGAUCCUGGAAACAGCCGCACAUUAGCCUGGGGACCAUUUUAUUUACGCUUGGAUCCAACAGCUUCUUCCACCUUCUUUUCCUCUUUCCCUGGCAAGAGGAUUUGUCCCCUCUCCCUCUGCCCCAAGUUUUAUUUAGUGAUUUAAUUUCACUUUAGUUU
This 563-nucleotide long non-coding RNA is filed under the name Marmota monax (woodchuck). Lineage: Eukaryota; Metazoa; Chordata; Mammalia; Rodentia; Sciuridae. The record is from RNAcentral.